AACGAACGCUGGCGGCAGGCCUAACACAUGCCAGUCGAGCGCACCCUUCGGGGUGAGCGGCGGACGGGUGAGUAACGCGUGGGAACGUGCCCUUCUCUGCGGAAUAGCCUCGGGAAACUGAGAGUAAUACCGCAUACGCCCUUUGGGGGAAAGAUUUAUCGGAGAAGGAUCGGCCCGCGUUGGAUUAGGUAGUUGGUGGGGUAAUGGCCCACCAAGCCGACGAUCCAUAGCUGGUUUGAGAGGAUGAUCAGCCACACUGGGACUGAGACACGGCCCAGACUCCUACGGGAGGCAGCAGUGGGGAAUCUUAGACAAUGGGGGCAACCCUGAUCGAGCCAUGCCGCGUGAGUGAUGAAGGCCUUAGGGUUGUAAAGCUCUUUCAGCUGGGAAGAUAAUGACGGUACCAGCAGAAGAAGCCCCGGCUAACUCCGUG
Molecule: ribosomal RNA, 433 nt
Filed under: uncultured bacterium
Lineage: Bacteria
Description: partial 16S ribosomal RNA
Rfam family: Bacterial small subunit ribosomal RNA
Source: RNAcentral